Long non-coding RNA from Etheostoma spectabile (orangethroat darter), 278 nucleotides. RefSeq lists it as uncharacterized. The transcript has 3 exons. Lineage: Eukaryota; Metazoa; Chordata; Actinopteri; Perciformes; Percidae. The record is from RefSeq and is a predicted model, not a curated record.
GAACAGGAAGAGGUGAGUCAGCUGGAAACUGAAGGCUGAGGCAGGACUGACUUCAGAUCAAAAGAUGAAUGAUUUGGAGGAAGAGGAGGACGGAGCAGAGUCUGUAGUAUCAGGCUGUCAGUCUACGAAGAGUGACCGGUCCAGAAGAAAACCUCCAGACUUUAGUAAAGAAUCUGGACCCUCAGACACAAAAGUCCAGAACCAGAGACGGAGACCAGAGUCUCUAGUAUCCGGUUGUCAGUCUAUGAAGGGUUACCAGUCAAUGCCAGAACCUCCAG